UCCCCUACGGGAGGCAGCAGUGAGGAAUAUUGGUCAAUGGCCGAGAGGCUGAACCAGCCAAGUCGCGUGAGGGAAGAAUGUCCUAAGGAUUGUAAACCUCUUUUGUCGGGGAGCAAAGAGAGUCACGUGUGACUCAUUGAGAGUACCCGAAGAAAAAGCAUCGGCUAACUCCGUGCCAGCAGCCGCGGUAAUACGGAGGAUGCGAGCGUUAUCCGGAUUUAUUGGGUUUAAAGGGUGCGCAGGCGGAGGUGCAAGUCAGCGGUCAAAUUGCGGGGCUCAACCCCGUACUGCCGUUGAAACUGCAU
This 305-nucleotide ribosomal RNA is filed under the name uncultured bacterium. Its description in RNAcentral is "bacterial SSU rRNA". It matches the Rfam family "Bacterial small subunit ribosomal RNA", at positions 335 to 638 of the family's 1533-position model. The record is from RNAcentral.